Molecule: regulatory RNA element, 32 nt
Organism: Aquimarina spongiae
Lineage: Bacteria; Pseudomonadati; Bacteroidota; Flavobacteriia; Flavobacteriales; Flavobacteriaceae
Rfam family: DUF805b RNA
About the family: Bacteroidetes, Chlorobi (1 example), Proteobacteria. Lineage (Flavobacteria)
Source: Rfam
AUCGAGGAAGCCGAAAAUCGUAAGAGUAGGCA